Balaenoptera musculus (blue whale) is the source of this 202-nucleotide long non-coding RNA. RefSeq lists it as uncharacterized. The record is from RefSeq and is a predicted model, not a curated record. Lineage: Eukaryota; Metazoa; Chordata; Mammalia; Artiodactyla; Balaenopteridae. The transcript has 3 exons.
GACAGGGUCUCUGAAGAUGCUAAAAAGGUCUGCUUUGGCUAAGAAGACACUGGAGGAUUUGAACAUUGGCUUCAAAGGUGGAUAUCUCCAUGACUAAGAAGGUGGAAGAUGAUUGCAGACAUGGAAUGCAUUUCAAGAAAGAAACCGUGCACCAGAUGCAAGAGUAUACCAUGAAGUUGCAUGAAAAUGCUUUUUAUUUAAC